Molecule: non-coding RNA, 525 nt
Organism: Schizosaccharomyces pombe (fission yeast)
Lineage: Eukaryota; Fungi; Ascomycota; Schizosaccharomycetes; Schizosaccharomycetales; Schizosaccharomycetaceae
Source: the annotation of a GenBank genome assembly
UUCAUUCGUUAGUUGAUAUUACUCCAAUACCCAGAGCUCGAUGUCCACGAUUUGGAUUCGUUGGUCAGGACAGCCACGAUAGCUCAAAGGAUUGUUUUCGAAUGCAGGAGUACGACUAGAGUAAGCGUACUCUAGAGAGCCAUCAAGCCAAAGGCUGUAUCUUCCAUUACCCCCACCAAAUGCCAAAAAGCUUUUGGUGCAAUAUGCAACAAAAUUGGAAUUUCCUACGAAAGGGUAAUGUACAUACUUUUUGGGAGGAAAAUAUUUCCACAAGAAGGUUUCCUCGGAACCAAAGUAAUGAGGUGCAGGAAUUAAAUAAUCAGGGAUAAAAACUCCAAAAACAUCGCCGUCUGUAUCGCGCACAGCUAAAAUGCAAGCCCCUUUAGGAUGGCCGCUUCGAGCUUUUUCCUUUUCGCAGGCUAAGUACAUUGUUUGAAGAGAUGCGCCGUCAUGUUGCAACGAAUAGAUUCGUUUCCAAGUUUCAGCAGAAGCAUAUCUUGCUGGCAAGUUCUCAACGAUGUGACU